UGUGUGGUAAGAUGCCCCAACAUCCCAUGACCUUUCGAGACCACCAAAAGACCAUCGUAUUGAAAAUCUGGUUUGUCACUCCCAACGGUCAGAUAGACCUCUCUGUGUCCGACACUUUCUGUUUCCUUCUUUCUAAGAGAUCAUCUUCAUAUCCAUCUGAACCAAUUUGGAAGAGAAAGAGAGAUCAAAUCCGAGAAAUGGGCAUGCAGCUGAUGAGGAGCUCCAGCUAUCAUCGCCAUCUUCAUCCCCACAGAGCUUCUAAAACUCCAGCAUUCUCUGCAUCUUUGCACCCCUUUUCUUCUUCAAUUGUGUUACAGAGGUCUCUUGGUUUUGAACAUGGCAGCACUAGAAGCACAGCGAGCAUAAAAAGAAGAAUUCAGAAGCAUGGGAUUGUAGCCUCAAGCAAUUUGGCUGCUCCACCUUGGGAGAGCUGGAAUCCUGAGAAGGGUUCUGCUUCUCCUUCUCUCAGUGACAUUGUUUGGCCUUCUGCAGGUGCUUUUGCAGCAAUGGCAAUAUUGGGAAGGGUGGAUCAGAUUCUAGCACCAAAAGGAGUUUCAAUGACAAUUGCACCUUUAGGGGCUGUUUGUGCUGUCCUCUUUGCCACUCCCUCCUCCCCAGCUGCUAGGAAGUACAAUAUGUUCUUGGCACAAAUUGGCUGUGCAGCAAUUGGCGUGCUGGCAUUUUCCAUAUUUGGGCCAGGAUGGCUUGCUAGGAGCUUUGCCCUAGCUGCAUCCAUUGCUUUCAUGACUUACACACGCUCCCCACAUCCCCCUGCUGCAAGCUUACCAAUACUGUUCAUUGAUGGAGCUAAGCUUCAUCACUUGAAUUUUUGGUAUGCUUUGUUCCCGGGUGCCGCUGGAUGCCUUCUUCUCUGCUUGAUUCAAGAGAUGGUGUUAUACUUGCAGGAAAACUUCAAAUUUUGAUCAUAUCUGGCAACAAACACAUGCUUUGCUCUCAGUCACAUACUUGGACAUAUACAUAAAUCCGUAGUUCAUCAAAUGGCAGCAGGUGGUGGGCCCCACAUAGUUUUGACUUGAUCAUCGUUCAAUCGGAACCGUGGAUCUUGUGCCACGUGUGGGGAUGAUGUCCACGUCGGGCGGUGGCCCAACGGAGCUGGAAGAUUCCCCAGGGGAGUUGCCUGGUGGACGCUGUCUUGAUGUGAUGCUUUUCGACGAUUCAGGAAAGGAGACGCGAUCCAGCCAUCGCAGCCGUACACGCGGCGAAACCCCAGGGACAUGGGUUUUAGAUGGUCGGUAGGACAUCUCCAAAAGUGCCUCGUGAUUCGAGAACAAGGGGGACACUUGUUAUGAGAUGUAUGGCAACUUUAUGUACCGUAAAGACAUGGGGAUUAAGAAAUAAAAAUCUUCUCCAUGCCUAAGUAGACUUUUGUUUAAAUGGGAAGUGGAUGUGGUUAGACUUAUUGUCCCAUAAGUUAACUU
This is an RNA transcript of Prunus dulcis (almond), 1439 nucleotides long. RefSeq lists it as uncharacterized. NCBI's taxonomy places the organism in Eukaryota, Viridiplantae, Streptophyta, Magnoliopsida, Rosales, Rosaceae. The transcript has 6 exons. The record is from RefSeq and is a predicted model, not a curated record.